UUGCCAGACUCCUACGGGAGGCAGCAGUAGGGAAUUUUGCGCAAUGGGGGAAACCCUGACGCAGCAACGCCGCGUGAUCGAUGAAGCCCUUCGGGGUGUAAAGAUCUGUCAGUGGGGACGAAACCUGACGGUACCCACAGAGGAAGCACCGGCUAACUCCGUGCCAGCAGCCGCGGUAAUACGGGGGGUGCAAGCGUUAUCCGGAUUUACUGGGUGUAAAGGGGGCGCAGACGGCAGCGCAAGCCAGGAGUGAAAGCCCGGGGCCCAACCCCGGGACUGCUCUUGGAACUGCGCGGCUGGAGUGCAGGAGGGGCAGGCGGAAUUCCUGGUGUAGCGGUGAAAUGCGUAGAUAUCAGGAGGAACACCGGUGGCGAAGGCGGCCUGCUGGACUGCGACUGACGUUGAGGCCCGAAAGCGUGGGGAGCAAACAGGAUUAGAUACCCUGGUA
This 448-nucleotide ribosomal RNA is filed under the name uncultured bacterium. RNAcentral's name for it is "partial 16S ribosomal RNA". It matches the Rfam family "Bacterial small subunit ribosomal RNA", at positions 328 to 792 of the family's 1533-position model. The record is from RNAcentral.